AUUGAACGCUGGCGGCAGGCCUAACACAUGCAAGUCGGACGGUAGCACAGAGAAGCUUGCUCUUCGGGUGACGAGUGGCGGACGGGUGAGUAAUGUCUGGGAAACUGCCCGAUGGAGGGGGAUAACUACUGGAAACGGUAGCUAAUACCGCAUAACGUCGCAAGACCAAAGUGGGGGACCUUCGGGCCUCACACCAUCGGAUGUGCCCAGAUGGGAUUAGCUGGUAGGCGGGGUAACGGCCCACCUAGGCGACGAUCCCUAGCUGGUCUGAGAGGAUGACCAGCCACACUGGAACUGAGACACGGUCCAGACUCCUACGGGAGGCAGCAGUGGGGAAUAUUGCACAAUGGGCGCAAGCCUGAUGCAGCCAUGCCGCGUGUAUGAAGAAGGCCUUUGGGUUGUAAAGUACUUUCAGCGGGGAGGAAGGUGCUGAGGUUAAUAAGCUCAGCAAUUGACGUUACCCGCAGAAGAAGCACCGGCUAACUCCGUGCCAGCCGCCGCCGUAA
Molecule: ribosomal RNA, 506 nt
Filed under: uncultured bacterium
Lineage: Bacteria
Description: partial 16S ribosomal RNA
Rfam family: Bacterial small subunit ribosomal RNA
Source: RNAcentral